AGAGUUUGAUCCUGGCUCAGGAUGAACGCUGGCGGCGUGCUUAACACAUGCAAGUCGAACGAAGCACUUGAUUCUGAUUCCUUUGGGAUGAAGAAUCCUGUGACUGAGUGGCGGACGGGUGAGUAACGCGUGGGUAACCUGCCUCAUACAGGGGGAUGACAGCUGGAAACGGCUGCUAAUACCGCAUAACCCGAUAGGGCCGCAUGGCCUGGACGGAAAAGAUUUAUCGGUAUGAGAUGGACCCGCGUCUGAUUAGCUAGUUGGAGGGGUAACGGCCCACCAAGGCGACGAUCAGUAGCCGACUUGAGAGAGUGAUCGGCCACAUUGGGACUGAGACACGGCCCAAACUCCUACGGGAGGCAGCAGUGGGGAAUAUUGCACAAUGGGGGAAACCCUGAUGCAGCGACGCCGCGUGAGUGAAGAAGUAUUUCGGUAUGUAAAGCUCUAUCAGCAGGGAAGAUAAUGACGGUACCUGACUAAGAAGCCCCGGCUAACUACGUGCCAGCAGCCGCGGUAAUACGUAGGGGGCAAGCGUUAUCCGGAUUUACUGGGUGUAAAGGGAGCGUAGGUGGCGUGGCAAGUCAGAAGUGAAAGCCCGGGGCUCAACCCCGGGACUGCUUUUGAAACUGUCAUGCUGGAGUGCAGGAGAGGUAAGUGGAAUUCCUAGUGUAGCGGUGAAAUGCGUAGAUAUUAGGAGGAACACCAGUGGCGAAGGCGGCUUACUGGACUGUAACUGACACUGAGGCUCGAAAGCGUGGGGAGCAAACAGGAUUAGAUACCCUGUAGUCCACGCCGUAAACGAUGAAUACUAGUGUCGGGGCCCAUAGGGCUUCGGUGCCGCAGCUAACGCAAUAAGUAUUCCACCUGGGGAGUACGUUCGCAAGAAUGAAACUCAAAGGAAUUGACGG
This 908-nucleotide ribosomal RNA is filed under the name uncultured bacterium. Its description in RNAcentral is "bacterial SSU rRNA". It matches the Rfam family "Bacterial small subunit ribosomal RNA", at positions 8 to 916 of the family's 1533-position model. The record is from RNAcentral.